Molecule: ribosomal RNA, 1503 nt
Filed under: uncultured rumen bacterium
Lineage: Bacteria
Description: bacterial SSU rRNA
Rfam family: Bacterial small subunit ribosomal RNA
Source: RNAcentral
AGAGUUUGAUCAUGGCUCAGGACGAACGCUGGCGGCGUGCCUAACACAUGCAAGUCGAGCGGGGACAUUGCGACGGAGACGAAGUACUCGUACGGAGUCAAAGAUGUAAUGUUCUAGCGGCGGACGGGUGAGUAACGCGUGAGCAACCUGUCCCUUACAGGGGGAUAACACAGCGAAAGUUGUACUAAUACCGCAUGAGACCACAGGAUGACAUUAUUCAGGGGUCAAAGGAGCAAUUCGGUAAGGGGUGGGUUUGUGUCCGAUUAGAUAGUUGGUGAGGUAACGGCCCACCAAGUCGACGAUCGGUAGCCGACCUGAGAGGGUGAUUGGCCACAUUGGGACUGAGACACGGCCCAAACUCCUACGGGAGGCAGCAGUGGGGAAUAUUGGGCAAUGGGCGAAAGCCUGACCCAGCAACGCCGCGUGAGUGAAGAAGGCUUUCGGGUUGUAAAGCUCUGUUAUAGAGGACGAAGGAAGUGACGGUACUCUAUAAGGAAGCCCCGGCUAACUACGUGCCAGCAGCCGCGGUAAUACGUAGGGGGCGAGCGUUGUCCGGAAUGACUGGGCGUAAAGGGCGUGUAGGCGGCCGUUUAAGUAUGGAGUGAAAGUCCACUUUUCAAGGGUGGAAUUGCUUUGUAGACUGGAUGGCUUGAGUGCGGAAGAGGWARKKGGAAUUCCCAGUGUAGCGGUGAAAKGCGUAGAGAUUGGGAGGAACACCAGUGGCGRAGGCGACUUACUGGKCSGUAACUGACGYUGAGGCGSGAARGCGUGGGGAGCGAACAGGAUUAGAUACCCUGGUAGUCCACGCGGUAAACGAUGAAUGCUAGGUUUGCGGGUAUCGACCCCGCAGUGCCGGAGUAAACACAAUAAGCAUUCGCCUGGGGAGUACGGCGGCAAGGUGAAACUCAAAGAAUGGACGGGGGCCGCACAAGCAGCGGAGCAUGUGGUUUAAUUGGACGCAACGCGAAGAACCUUACCAGGUCUUGACAUCCAGUUAAAGCCAUAGAGAUAUGGUGUGUGCUUGCACAAACUGAUACAGGUGUGCAUGUGUCGUCAGCUCGUGUCGUCAGAUGUUGGUUAAAUCCGGCAACGAGCGCAACCCUUAUUUUCAGUUACUAACACAUAGAGGGGAGGACUCUAAUGAAACUGCCGGGACAACUCGGGGGAAGGUGGGGGACGACGUCAAAUCAUCAUGCCCCUUAUGACCUGGGGCUACAAACGUACUACAAUGGCAACCACAAAGAGAAACAAACUUGUGAGAGUAAACGAAUCUCAAAAAAGUCGUCCCAAUUCGGACUGUGGGCUGCAACCCGCCCACACAAAAUUGUAGUGGCUAGUAAUCUCGGAUCAAAAUGCCGCGGUGAAUACGUUCCCGGGCCUUGUACACACCUCCCGUCACGCCAUGGGAGUUGGGAGCACCCUAAGCCGGUGAGUUGACCGCAAGGGGACAGCCGUGGAAGGUGAGACCGAGGACUGGGGGGAAGUCGUAACAAGGUAACCGUA